CGCGGCCUAUCAGCUUGUUGGCGGGGUAACGGCCCACCAAGGCGACGACGGGUAGCUGGUCUGAGAGGACGGCCAGCCACACUGGGACUGAGACACGGCCCAGACUCCUACGGGAGGCAGCAGUGGGGAAUCUUGCGCAAUGGGCGAAAGCCUGACGCAGCGACGCCGCGUGGGGGAUGAAGGCCCUCGGGUUGUAAACCCCUUUCGGCAGGGACGAAGCGAAAGUGACGGUACCUGCAGAAGAAGCUCCGGCUAACUACGUGCCAGCAGCCGCGGUAAGACGUAGGGAGCGAGCGUUGUCCGGAUUCAUUGGGCGUAAAGCGCGCGUAGGCGGCCAUGCAAGUCGGUUGUGAAAUCCCGGUUGGCUCAACCCCGGGACUGCGUCCGAUACUGCGUGGCUCGAGGCAGGUAGGGGAGAUCGGAAUUCCUGGUGUAGCGGUGAAAUGCGCAGAUAUCAGGAGGAACACCGGUGGCGAAGGCGGAUCUCUGGGCCUGUCCUGACGCUCAGGCGCGAAAGCUAGGGGAGCGAACAGGAUUAGAUACCCUGGUAGUCCUAGCCGUAAACGUUGGGCGCUAGGUGUGGGGGGAUAUCGACCCCCUCCGUGCCGAAGCUAACGCAUUAAGCGCCCCGCCUGGGGAGUACGG
RNAcentral lists this ribosomal RNA (645 nucleotides) under uncultured Actinomycetes bacterium. Its description in RNAcentral is "bacterial SSU rRNA". It matches the Rfam family "Bacterial small subunit ribosomal RNA", at positions 232 to 885 of the family's 1533-position model. The record is from RNAcentral. Lineage: Bacteria; Bacillati; Actinomycetota; Actinomycetes.